AAGGGCGCUGCCCUGGACUCAGGGAGCUCACUCCUCCUCUCUGGGCAACAGAGAAAAGUCACCCACUGCAGCAAAAGCCAUGAGAAUAUGCUCAGUGAUAAGGCAGUGGCGUUAAAUCUGCAGGCAGUGGGCUAUCUGUGGGUCCUUAAAUCUAUUUAGUGCAUCUUGAACAGUAUUUUUAAGCUGGGAUAAGUGGAAUAGGAAGGAGUGGAGUGGAGCAUGAUGAUGAUUCCCCCAACAACCCUGGGAGGUGGCAAGAUAGGAUCAUGCUUCUCCUUGCAAAGCUGAGACGAUGGGGACUUGGCAAGGCUGAGAGACUCUCUGGAGGUUGACAGCUGAGAGGUCAGAGCACCAGACCUGGGGGUCCCACAGCCCAGCUCCCAGUGUGGAGGGUCCUGCUGUGCCCACUGCCACCAAAAACACAGCUUCGCCCAGCAUCAUGCAGUAUCUGCCACACAGCGUCUGUCUGCCACAUGGCAUCUGCCACCUGAACUAUCUCCAGGCACCUCUGCAGUUACAGCAACAGCCACAGGAGUGACAAAUCUGGGUACCGACAUCCAGGAUGAAGACUACAUUUCCCAGCAUCCCUUGCAGCAAACAGAGGUCAUGUGACCAGGCUGUGGUCACUGGGAGGUUAGGCCUGUGCACAGUGGCUGCCUUUAGAGGAAGGAAG
RNAcentral lists this long non-coding RNA (673 nucleotides) under Homo sapiens (human). RNAcentral's name for it is "HSALNT0268232". The record is from RNAcentral. Lineage: Eukaryota; Metazoa; Chordata; Mammalia; Primates; Hominidae.